GCUGGUGCUUUAUAAUAGAUACAGGGAAACCUGGGCGGUAAUUGUGCAGUUGCAAAGCAUAUUUACCGUUUACAUA
This 76-nucleotide non-coding RNA is filed under the name unclassified sequences. RNAcentral describes it as "COG2827 RNA". It matches the Rfam family "COG2827 RNA". Rfam says of the family: Clostridiales. Nearby to self-splicing intron genes The record is from Rfam by way of RNAcentral. RNAcentral also lists the same sequence under 1 other name.